Trematomus bernacchii (emerald rockcod) is the source of this 2594-nucleotide long non-coding RNA. RefSeq lists it as uncharacterized. The record is from RefSeq and is a predicted model, not a curated record. The transcript is spliced from 7 exons. Lineage: Eukaryota; Metazoa; Chordata; Actinopteri; Perciformes; Nototheniidae.
GGGGGAGGAAGGGGGAGGAAGAGGAAGAAGGUCCGGCCUCCUUCACACGGAGUUUAACUUCUUUAAAACAACUUUAACUCACUUUUUAUUUCAUGUUAAAAUUAAACCUCCGCGAAUAUUUCCAGGCAGCGGUGAGCGCCAGGCAGCGAGGCCGGCGAAGGGACGCUAUUCCCGGGGAGAAAAACAGCGACAUGUCGGGGGGAUCCAGGCCGAGUGGAUGUGACUGAGAGGCGGGGAAAACCCUCCGAGACUCCCCGCUCCUGAGAGGAGGAUGGAGGGAGAGAAAGAGACGGCGGAGGAGAAGGAGGAGGAAGAAGAGGAAGAGGAGGAAGGAGAAGAUCUUCAUCACAUCGCGGCAAUAUCCAUAGACCACCAGGAACUUCCCAUCAUGCACUGGGAGGAUUUGAGCCAGCGAAUAGCAGAGCUGGAGCAGCAGGAGAGGAGCGAGAGGUCAAAGAGGCCGGAGGAGGGCGAGUGGAGAGACGUUUUGGGAGGAAGACGAGGAAGACUUAAGGGAAGUGCCGCGUCGCUGUCGUGUCGUCACGAUUUCAGCACCACAAAAACCUGCAGCUGUGCUUCGUCAACAACAGCGACAGCGAGGAGGACGAGGAGAAAGAGGUUUCAAAGGGAGCGGGGCAGAAUGGAUGCCGAGGCGCCGGAUUGAAACAGGAAGUGGUGUCGGCGCUGAGGAGGCUGAGGGAUGAGCUGCUGGCCAAUCAGAGAGAGGGAGGGUGUGUGUCCAGCAACUGUGUUUCAGAGAGGAAACAUCUGGAGCUUCAGGAGCUGCAGCAGCGCUCUGUGACGCAGCUGAGGAGAGAGAGAGACAAACUACAGCAGGAAGUCCACGCUCUGAGCUCUCAGCUGGUUUCUCUGCUGCUGGUUCGAGACCAGCUGAGGACGAAGCAGGACGCCAUGCUGCUGGACGUCCAGGACCUCACCUGACCCAGAACCACCUGACCCAGAACCAGCUUCUACGAGGACACCCGGCCAAUAACGGACCUGUAGGAGGUAUUUAACUUCUGAAAAACCCUCAGAGGAACGAGCGGAGGAACUCUUGGACUAACAGCAUGAAGGAAACGGACUCUGACACAGAGCCGAAUAUGAGCCGCAGUUAGAGAAGAGCCAAGUCCAAACCAAGGUUCUGAAACAUGUGGUACUGGUUUAUCUUUAGAACCGGGAAGAUGUGUUUCAGACGCUGUAAACUCUGAAUUAUCCUGAUCAUGCUUCACUGAGAACAACAACUCUGUGAGGAAAUCUACAGGAGAGUUAGCUUACAUUAGCAUUUAGCAGCUAACGGAGCUACAUCAUAAUGCAGUUUUUGAAACGUAGUUUUUUACCGUGACGUCGAGAAUCGUGGUGUUUCAUCGGUUUUGGUAUUGACUAUUAAACUCGUGGGUUUUGUGAGACCCGAUAUCUCGUUAGUGACCGACAGCAGGUUGACGGGAAACAAAGGAUUUUGUUUAAGAUCUGCAGGAGAGCCAGCUGACAGCAUUUAGCAGCUAACGGAGCUACAUCAUGAUGCAGUUUUUGAAACGUAGUUUUUUACCGUGACGUCGAGAAUCGUGGUGUUUUAACAGUUUUGGUAUCGACUACUACUCCUGUGACAUCCGAUAUCUCGUUAGAAACCGACAGCAGGUUGAUAGGAAAUGAAGGAACAAAGAUUUAAGUCAAACACGACGCUGGAAAAACAGGAAGACAAACGGCGUCUGGAUUUUAACCUCUGAGAGUUUUCAGACCUGUCUUUCUAGGUUUGGGUUGUGUUUUGGGAAUUUAGAGCAGAGGUCCAGAAGGGAAGAGGAGGAGCUUCUGUGCACGGAUAAAUGCUCGAUAUCUAAAUGCUAACGAGAGGGGAAAAUAAUGCGCCGUUAGAUUCAGAACCGCUCCGAAAUCAAACCCUCCUGACAUCUGCACCAUGUUAGUGGAAGAAGGAUUAGGACGAACAUAUUUAAUACAUGUAUGUGCAAAUAAGGGAUUCUAACUUAUCUUAUUUAAUUUUAACGUGUUUAUUAUUUGUUAUUAUAAUAAGGGAACAUUACACUCAAGACAAGAGCUAUUUAACUCAGAUUUAAGAUUUUAUAUUCUGGUAUUUGUCCUCCAGGGUUUUGCUUUCUGACUUGUGUAGCUUAGCAUGCGAGCUAGCUACGUCGUCCUUGGCGUUUUCACUCCUUCACUCCUUUAAGUCCAUUUUCUCCUCCGUCAUGUCUCGAAUAUCCGUCUGUUUUCCGCCUCACAUCUCAAUAUCAAUCUUUAUUUAUUCAUAUAGCACAUUUAAAACCACCUCAGCUGACCAAAGUGCUUUGCAGGGAACACAUCAUAUAUAGAAUAACACAAUAGGAGUACAAUUAUAAAAAACAAUAAUAAGCACAAUAACUAUAACAUAUAAAAACAUGUAGAAAUGUCAAAAUGUUCAACUAGUGUUAGAAGCCAGAGCAAAGAGGUGAGUUUUUAGCAGAGAUUUAAAAGACAUAAUUAUGCAUUUAACAAACAAAAAGAUAUAUGCUUUUAUUUUUGACAUUUUCGACAUAUAUAAUAUAAGAUAAAAAACAUAUGUGUGUGUUUCUGUUUGUGUGUGUGUGUGUGUGGCCUCCUGUGUG